This 300-nucleotide ribosomal RNA is filed under the name uncultured Alteromonadales bacterium. RNAcentral describes it as "bacterial SSU rRNA". It matches the Rfam family "Bacterial small subunit ribosomal RNA", at positions 115 to 418 of the family's 1533-position model. The record is from RNAcentral. Lineage: Bacteria; Pseudomonadati; Pseudomonadota; Gammaproteobacteria; Alteromonadales.
GCGUAGGAAUCUACCCAGUAGUGGGGGACAACUAGUGGAAACGCUAGCUAAUACCGCAUACGCCCUAAGGGGAAAGCGGGGGAGUCUUCGGACCUCGUGCUAUUGGAUGAGCCUGCGUAAGAUUAGCUUGUUGGUGGGGUAAUGGCUCACCAAGGCGACGAUCUUUAGCUGGUCUGAGAGGAUGAUCAGCCACACCGGGACUGAGACACGGCCCGGACUCCUACGGGAGGCAGCAGUGGGGAAUAUUGGACAAUGGGGGAAACCCUGAUCCAGCGAUGCCGCGUGAGUGAAGAAGGCCUU